UAACUUCGCGCUUCAUACAACAAAUUUUUAAUGCAAACCGAUCCGCUUCGGCGUCCCCAUCGCGAAGAAAAAGAAAGAAAAAACAGCUUUCCCUACCGCUCCAUCCUCUCCUUCCCUGCCGCCUCCAUCCUCUCCCUCGCUGCCGCCUCCAUCUCCCUCGCCACGCUCUCCGUCUCGCCGGCCGGCGGCGCGAAGCCACCCGAAUCGCGGCCAAGUCUGGUGCCCGUAGGGAGGCGGCGCCAGUUCGGUCAUUGGCGACUUCGCCGCCGCAGCAGCACGUCCCCGGCGCCCCGGCAAGCUCGUGCGCCAGCCACUGGCCACAACAACUUUUCUACCCCGACGCUCUGACGAGCUCGUCCGCCAGCCCGUCGACACCAUCGUACCUGUAACACCCCCCCCCCCACCUCUCAUGGAAUCCUCUACUGCAAACCCUACAUGGUAUAAAUUUCUGCUUUUAAUUCAAUCUUCGCCAAUUGCAAUUUCUUUAGCUCGAAUUUGCAUCAUUAGGUAAUUUCUGUGUUCAGCGUCUAGAAUACUUGAUUCAGCGUGUGUAGGUCUUCAGGGAAUUUCUGUACUGCCAAGUCUUUACUCACAUCUGUGUCUGAAUUUCUAAGUCUGAAUCAGCGUGUGUAGGUGUAGCCUGAAUUACCAAAAUAGUGAGCUUCACUUGACGUCUUUUUGCUUUUGCUUGCUUCAUUGAGCAAGUGAUAUAUCACAUCAAGACACUAGUUAGGACAUGCUUUUUGAACAAAGGAUUGAUUGUGCUUCAUAUAGCACAAACAGUAGGAUUAUCAUAUGGAUCACAAAGUUAAUUUCAUAUUGAUACAUGCCACAUAUGGAUCACAAAGUUAGAUCCCACAAAACAAUAAAUGAAAACCUUCAAGUUACUACCUCUAUGUUACUACCCACUAUGGAGGUAGUAACAUAGAGUACUAACAUAUGCAUGUUACUACUCUAUGUUACUAUCCACUCAAGGUUUACGAGUCGACGAGUUGACGAGUCGUUCCGAGGUAGAGACUCAUAGACUAAUCGAGACUAGUCUAGACUAGUGCUAGACUAGUCGACAUGGUACUGUAGUACUCAGCUACUAAUACCUAGUGGCAGUAUGUAGUAUAUACUAACAGUACAGUAUGCAAUAAAACCAGCCACUGUCUAAAUAAUUGGGCUAUGCAGUGUUCUGGGCCCAAGUGGGUAUGCCAUAGGACCAGCCACUGUCUAAAUACUAGCCCAGCACCACGCAGCACCCCCAGCUGGCCCAUUUGGGCCCAAAUGGCCAGCCUACUUAGCCCCCAACCACUGGAACCCUAGCUCCCGACCACUCCAAUCGCCGCCGCCAGCGCCAUCACGCAUGGGAGCACGCGCGCACGCGACCCGUGCCUCCUCCCGCCUUCUACCGGUCCCUGCCGCUGCCGCCGGCGAGCCCGCCGACCACCGCCAUGCCUCCUCCUUUCCUCUCCUCUCUCUCUCUCUCUUCCUUCUCUCUCGUCUCAAGGCCGCGCGCCCCUAUGGGUCACGGCCAUGGUCGCUGCCUGAGCACGAGCUCCGGCCGGCCGCCGCACCUGGCUGCGCCAUCCGCCGUCCCGGCGGUGGGUGGCGGCGGCGGUGGCAGGGCAGUGGGUGCUGGCGGCGCCUCGUCCCAGCUGAGGCAGCUCUCUUUUUUGAGUCGCUCGACUCGUAUGUGUCGACUAGUCCAUCCACAGCUCGACUCCUAUUUGUAGUCUACACGAAAAAAUGAGUCGACAUCCACUUUGCGACUCGUAGACUAGUCGAGCGACUAGUCUAGACUAGUCGUUUGACUCAUAAUCGCUGUAUCCACCGUGGCUAGUCUGAAGGGAAGCUUUUCCCAUUGCCAAUACAUGUAUGCGGAGUUAUAUAUUUUUUGCAGCACAAGCAUAGAAGGCAACAUGCCUCAGGUUCCAGCUGGCCGUGUCCGUGUGGCACACCAUCACCGCCUCCACGCCGGUGUUGUUCAAAAUAUUCAUGAGGCAGUAGAACACGGCGUGUGGCUCCCUGCAUCGUCGACCUCUCCUUGCCGUCGACGUGGACCUUAGGUGCCUGGUCCCGAGACUGGAGGGCACAAAGUCGAGGAAACUACAGCUUGUUUUUCUUAGCGACAGUGUUACAAUAAUUUAGUUACAGGUAAACAACAAAAGAUUGAUAAUGCUUUACCUUGCUCUUACCUUGCUGAAAUCUCAAGAAACGCAUAUUGCUACUGAAACUCAAACGGAUACUACAACACGAACAAUUUAGGUAAACUAAAAAAAUUAAAUGAGGAAUAUUCCAAAUUAAACCUGUAAUCAUGACACCAGCGGUCACUACUCGCUAGUCGACUAGUCAAGGAUAACAGGAGCGUCGGAAGUCCGACGAUAGGAAUUACAUACAAGUGUAGUGUUCCUCAUUGUGUACGUCCUAAUAAUGCAAAAGCUAGUGCUGAACUUGUAUGCUUUGUAUUAAUUUGAUAUGAAGUUAUGAGUCAAUAAAGGCAUAUUUUAUUUAAAAAACAGAAUUGAACAAUAAGUGACGUCGUGAGGAACUCUUUGUUUCUGCAGCCCUGUUGUUCCUAUGAUCUCCGGUCCUACUAAUUGGGCACCUCCUCUUCAAUUUUAUCUCAGUGAGGGGGGUGAUUCUGAAAAUGUGCGAGCUGUUAGGUGUUCGGGAGGACGUCUGCGCGGGCGACUGCGCGCCCGCAUCGGUGCGGGCGCCGGCCUCGGCUACGCCGGCGGGCUGGUCCGUGGUCCGUCGUGGCGCGUGCUUCCCCCAGGUGAGCGGCGUGGAGGGCCGCGACGGCGCAACACCGGCGGGGGGUGGCGCUCGCUCCAACCGCUUUUGGGCGCUGGCGGCGGAGGAUUCGGAUGUCGAGGACGUGGAUGUGGAUUCGGAGUCGGAGCGGGGCCUGCAUGCGGUGCCAGACGGGCCGUCGAUCAGAGAUUUCGUGGCCUUUGCGGCGUCAGAGAGAGAGGCGGGCUCGGGGCGCGGGCGGCGCUUUGCGCCGGGCGGCCGCGGCUCCAGGGCCAUGGCCUCGCGCAUCUGGCAGCCGGCGACGUUGGCCCGUUCGGGCUUGGGGGUUGGAGCUCCGUCGGGGGCGGCGCAACUCAGGUCCAAGACGGCGGCGUGCUUGCUGGAGGGCCGGCCGGAGAUGUCCAGGGAGGACUGGCCAUGCCUGCUGGCGCCCCCUGCGGCGGCGGCGGUGGCGCCGUCCGUUCGGGAGGAGAUGCGCACCGCUCCGAGCCCUAGGGUUGGGACGGAUGGGCCGGCAGUGGGUGACAGACCUGGGCCGACUUCGGGUGCGGGGCUGGCUGCGGGUGUUGGGCCUGGGCUGGUUGGCCUGUCGGGUUCCGGCUCUGGUUUGCCUGUGGGGCGGGGUCAGGAGAUGGCCAUGGACUCGCGGUCACACGCGCCUCCGCGGCCCAAAGUGUCUCGGCCCGACCCACGGCCAACCGCCGGCUAUAAAUGGAUGCGGAGGGGUUGCCUGGAUCCCCAUUUAGGGUUUCCAGCCACCACUAGUGAGGUGCGGCGCCUCGCUCAUUCCGCCCGCACUCUCAAGAUAUGCCCCCUCCUCCCCCCUCCUCCAUUCCUUCACGACGGUGGUGAUGGGCGACCGGCGCGCCGACAAGCGGCCGAUGGAGAUCCCAGAUCCGGAGGCGGAGAGGCGCAGGGAACGCGAGCUGCGCGACAGCGCGAAGCGCGUGAUGCGCGAGCGCUCUGGUGGGCGCGAGGUCAGAGAAGAGCGCGGUGGAUCUCGCGACCAAGGCGGGCGCGAGGGGGGCUGGGGUCCUCCUCCCCCGUGGUGGAUCCAACAGCAAGAGCGCAAGAAGAAGGAGAAGGUCCUCCAGCGGCGGCGCGAGCUUGAGAGGAAGCAAGAGGCUCAUCCAAACUGUGGUGGGGGCCACGGGGAUCUGAUGGCCAAGAAGCCGCGUGCGCCCGUAGAUCCACUGGCGGUGGCGCUACCCACAGCGUCCAAGGGCACGGCGGAGGAGCCCAUCCCGGUGGAGGAGGUAUCGGAAGUCGAGUGUUUCUAGUGCGGGCGCCUUUGUCACUACCAAUCCAAAUGCAAGUUCUUGCCCCUCUGUGUUCUCUGCAAGGAAGAAGGGCAUGCGUCCGCACACUGCCCGACGAGGGGCCGGCAAUUGCAUCUUCAAAUCAUGGGAAGUGCCAUCUCUAGGGAGGGUUUCUUCUGCCUCGUGUUUGAAGACGACGACGAGUCUGAGGCCCCCAUUGAUGCUCGUAUCAAGAACGCGGCCAUCCUCUGUGCGGAGCCGGGAAAGCUUAAUCUCUGUAUCCUUAAACAAGAGCUGAAGCACAUGGUGAUGGGCGAUUGGGAUUGGCAGGUCACUCAAGUGGGAGAUGACGAUUUCGUGGUGGUCUUUCCUUUUGCAGAUCUGUUACACAUGGCAAAAUCGAGCGGGAAGUUGUUUCUGUCUAUCAACGACAUCACUGCGUGUGUGUGCGACAUGCUUCACGAGGAGAUCCAGCCUAUGGUGAUGCCUGAGACAUGGGUUAGGCUCCAUGGCAUCCCAAAGAAACAUAGGCGUGAAGACCGCAUCAAGUAGGGGUUCCGGAUGCUGGGCCGGCCGAUUGUGGUCGAUGAGUUAUCGCUGAUCAUGUUGGGACCUGUUCGAAUGAAGCUCGCUUGCAAAGCCCCGGAGAAGCUUAAUGGAGUUAUCGAGGUGUGGUUCAAUCAUGAGGGCUAUCAGAUCAAGGUUGAGCGUGAGACCCUUCCCAAAAGGGGUGGAGAGCGGUUUGUGCACGGCUCUGGCCCUUCCCAUCCUCCCCCAAGGACGCUGAUCUGUCAAAGGAAGCACGGUCUCAGGGCAACUCCAAGCAAGGCAGGGCUGAACCAGGCAAUGACCAGCAAGGGGGCGAGGGCGCUCCUAGUGCUGCGGCGAACCAGGACUCCAAGAUGCUCGACAUGGGGGAGGAACAAGACGAUAGCAUUCAGGACACCUCCAUUGACACGGAAACUUGGGACAAGCUGGGAGCGCUGUCGGCUGAUGCUGGGGCUAUUGGGGUGGCGACUCAGGACACCGCGGUGAGUGUGCCUCCGCUCGCUCGCUCUCUGGAGCUGACCUUCAAUGAAUACGGGUCCAACUUCUCUGCCCCGAUCCAGGAGGUGGCGGCACACCUUGGCGCGGGUGGGGGCCCCGCUGCUGCUCCUCUCCCUGCCUCAUCCUCUCUAGUGGCCGUGGGGGCGGACUCUGGCUGCGUGGUGAACGAGGGGGCCGACAUGACGCCUGCUCCGCGACAUGGUUCCAACAGCGCUGGUCGGCAACCUAAGAAAACGGCGGGGAGGAAGCCGGCUAACAAACAGGCGAUGAUCGUGGCGGCGGUGAUUGCGUCGGACCUUGGUGGAGAGUUGGGGGCAGCGUUGUGGGCGACUGGAACGAGCAGCAAGGCCAGGCGCUCCAAGGCGACCCCGGUGGUGCAGAGAGCUCCCAGCGUUCGGGCCAAGGCCAAGCUGGGCGACCUAUCAUCCAUGGAGAGCGCCAAGCUCCGCAUCGCCGAUAAGAACAUGGACUCCUCAGGUAAUCCCUUGCCCUCUUUCCGUAUUCUAAAUGCUUUCUCGGACGAUCACCUGGCGAGCAUUUUAGAUGAUUGUGGAGUGGCGAUUAGCGGUUCUCAGAACAAUAUUAUACCACUCGUGCGAGCUAGGGAAGAGGCGCAAGCAGCGCUGGCUGCUGCUGCUGUUCGCUGCGCUGACAGCAACUCGUUAGCCAUCGUACCAGUAGAGGCUGGUGACGAGGGCAUGCCCGAUGAAGCGACACAAGCUAGGGAAGCUGGUGUACUUCCUUCAAAUGGCCGUGAAACGACAUGUACUCUCAGGGUGUGCGCCUACGAAAUAGGAUUAUAUAAAUGAGGUACAUGUUCUGGAAUAUCCGUGGUUGUGGCCACGGUGGCCGUCGUACUCAGCUUAACGAGUACAUGGACAAAGAACGUAUCGAUGUGGUUGUGCUGCAGGAGACGAUCAAAACUGAUUUUACAUUCAGAGAACUUCUCGCGUACGACCCCCUUCAACGAUUUGAUUGGCAUUGGGUUCCCUCCGUGGGGCAUUCUCGUGGCAUUUUGAUGGGUUGUAAUAGGGAUGUAUGUGAUGUAUUGCAAUGGGAUGUUGGUGUUUUCUUUUUGUCUGCAACUAUUAAACAUCGUGUAUCUGGUUUGUCGUGGGUUGUCAUGUGUGUUUAUGGGCCAGCGGAUCACUCCACAUCGCCGGCGUUCCUUCUUGAACUGACAAACCUGGUUGGGGCCAAAAGGGCAAACAACCUCCCUGUGGUUGUUGGUGGUGAUUUUAACUUGAUACGCUCAGGGGCGGACAAGAAUAAUGCUAAUAUCGAUUGGAUUAGGGUGUCCUUAUUCAAUAAUGCCAUUGCGGCAGCAGCAUUGGAUGAAGUGGCGCGGACCGGGGCCAGAUAUACCUGGACUAACAAACAAACUCAACCGGUGCGUAGCGUGUUGGAUAGGGUAUUUUUUUACGCCCGAAUGGGAGGUCCUGUUUCCCAUGUGUUCUCUCGUGGCGGAGACGCGCAUUGGAUCAGACCAUGUGCCGCUGAUAUUUCCUUAGGGGAGGAUCUCAUCCGGCGUAGCCCUAGAUUCUACUUCAAAACGGAUUGGUUCGAAGCGGAGGGUUUCGCCCAGAUGGUGGUAGAUCGAUGGGGAGCGAUCUGUACCCAAUUGGGGCCCCAACGUGGGCCAGCGGAGCGCUGGAACGCAGCAGCAGGCAAGCUUCGUGCUUUCCUGCGCGGGUGGGGCGCUAACCACAAUAGCGAAUCCAAGAAGGCUUGCGCGCGUAUUGUAGAGACAAUUGCACUGUUAGAUGCGGAAGCAGAUCGCCGUCCCUUUUUGGAGGACGAUUGGGCCCAUAGGUACGCCUUGGAAAACCAAGUCACGGCGAUUUUGCAUGCGAAGGAGUACUGGCGACGCAGGGGCGGAGUCAAAUGGGUCACGAAAGGAGACGCAAACACCGGAUAUUUCCACGCCUAUGCGAACGGGAGGAAAAGGAAGUGCUUCAUUGUGGGUCUUCAAUCCGAGCACGGGCUCCUGUUGACGCAGGAACAAAUUGUGGCUCAUAUUUAUGAGUUUUUCAUAGGCCUUUUGGGGACGGCCGUCGAAAAACCGCUCUGCUUGCGCGAUGAUCCGUGGGAUCCCGCGGAGCUUGUCUCUUCGGAGGAGAACGAUAGGCUUGCUCUCGCUUUUCUGCCCGAGGAAAUAGAUCAGUCUCUUGACGACAUGAAAACGAGCACGGCGCCCGGGCCGGACGGGUGGCCUGUCGAGUUCUUCAAGAGAUUCUGGCCUUGCCUUAAGCACCUGUUCUACGAUAUCGUCAACGGCCUUGCUUUAGGCACGGUUGACCUUUCUCGCCUGAACUAUGGAGCCAUUAGCCUUAUUCCUAAGGUGAAAGGGGCGGAUAACAUUAAGCUUUUUAGACCCAUCACCCUGAUUAACGUUCCUUUCAAAAUUUGUGUGAAAGCUUAUGCCUCCCGUUUGGCUCCGGCCGCUCAACGUAUCAUUAGUUCUAGUCAGACAUGUUUUCUCAAACGACGAAACAUACUUGAGGGACCAAUCGCGUUACAAGAAAUAGUUCACGAGUUAAAACGCACCAACGCACAGGGAGUGCUUCUUAAAUUAGACUUCGAGAAAGCCUAUGAUCGCGUGAACUGGGAGUUUGUGCGAGAGGUCUUCCUCAAAAAGGGUUUUGAGGCAGAUUUCGUGCAUCGCAUCAUGCACCUCAUGUGUAGUGGGCACACGGCGGUCACUGUCAAUGGCACAAUGGGUAAGUUUUUCCGUAACAAACGUGGUCUCCGUCAGGGAGACCCAAGCUCGCCUCUCAUUUUUAACUUUGUCGCGGAUGCCCUAGCGGCCAUGAUUAAUAAAGCGAGGGUAGCGGGACACAGUAAAGGGCUUGUAGCCCACCUUAUUCCUGGUGGGGUUACGCAUCUGCAAUACGCAGAUGAUACGAUGCUCUUGUUCGAGCUCGACGACCACAACAUAGCUACCAUCAAGUUACUACUGCUCGCUUUUGAGAUUUUAUCGGGGCUUAAGAUCAACUUUCUGAAGAGCGAAGUGAUCACCAUUGGGGUGGAUGAUCUAGAAAGUGCUCGGAUCGCCAAUCUACUCAAUUGCAAGCUAGGGAGCUUCCCGAUUAAGUACCUGGGCCUCUCGAUCUCGACCAAGAAACUAACCAUAGCGGAAUGGGAGCCGCUGUAUGGGAAAGUUGCUAACCGAGUGAGCCCUUGGAGGGGCAGGUUUAUGUCCUCGGCGGCGAGGCUUAUUCUCACCAACUCGAGCUUAUCCUCCCUUCCUAUUUUCACAAUGGGAAUGUUCCUACUUGCGGAUGGGGUUCACGCUAGAUUCGAUACUCCGCGCUCUCGGUUCUUUUGGGAAGGAGCUGGGACCAAGCGCAAGUACCACUUAGUGAAAUAGGCAGCGGUUUGUAGGCCAAAAAAAUUCGGCGGCUUGGGUGUUAUGAAUUCUAAACUCAUGAACGUGGCCCUGCUUACUAAGUGGUGGUGGCGUCUUACCCAAAACGAGUCGGGACUCUGGGUAGACAUCCUCCGGGCUAAAUAUUUUCCGGAUGGGAAUUUGUUCAAGGCUAAAAGCAAUGGUUCGGCCUUUUGGAAUGGGGUCCAAGCGGUACGACCGGCUUUUGCAGUGGGUGCGCAGUUCUGUGUCAAUGAUGGCAAGUCCACGCGCUUCUGGCUCGAUCAUUGGUGGGGUCAGGAACGGUUGUGGCAAUCUCAUCCAGAAUUGUACCAACUCGCAACGGACACCAACAUUAUGGUGGCCGAUGCUUUGCGAGUCCAACCGUCUACCAUCUCCUUUAUUAGGACGCUAGAGACAACGGAGGCCGCCAGCUGCUCAUUGGCGGCUGACUUGGAAAGACUGAUGCGUAGUAGUGGGGCGGAUACGAUUACGUGGAAGUUGACCUCCUCCAAGAAAUUUACGGUCAAGUCCCUGUACGACAAGCUCUCCGAGGGCACUACGCUUGAUAUAGCUAGGGGGCUAUGGAAGGCCGGUAUUCCUCUCAAAAUCAAGAUUUUCUUGUGGCAAAUGUUUCGCAACCGCUUACCAACUUCUGAUAAUGUGGCCAAAUGCAAUGGGCCGGCGACGGAACAUGCACCACUUGCAGUUUAGAGGAAAACGCAAACCACGUGUUCUUUGGCUGUGUGCUCGCUAGAUUUGCGUAGAGUGCGGUUAGAGAUGCUUUCAAACAAAAUUGGAAUCCACAGUCUAGCCACGAUGCUCUUUCUAUCUUAACGACGCAAAGAGGGGCCAAUGCAAGGAUCGUUUGGAGAUGCGUUGGGGCGCUGCUUUGGUCCCUUUGGACGGUUCGGAACAAAAUUACGAUAAAGCACAAGUUCCCGGCCCACCCUGCUGACAUCAUCUUCAAAUGUCACAUUUUCCUUCAGGUAUGGGCGCCGCUGGGGAAGAAGCGUGACGUGGAACGCAUGAACGAGACUAUGGAGCUGAUCAAGACGACCAUGGUGAAGGCACGACAAGGGACGACUGCUUGAUCAUGGGACCCCUACUUUUAGCUAUCUAUCUACUUGAUGCUCCGCUUUUGUGCUCUUGAACUUCUGGCUGUUGCCUGCUUAGCUUUAUUCUGAGCCUUGGGUUCGAUGACUGUUUUAUUUGGUUUGUAAGACUUAAGUAUGUGUGGAUCCUGCCUGGUGGCUUUAUUAAUUUAAAGCCGGACGCUCCUAGCGUCUAUGUUCCAAGAAAAAUUUAUCUCAGUACUACAGGAAUUGUUGUAUGUGAUGACUGAUGACAUUGGUAAGGUCCUUCGUCUUGGGAUUUUA
RNAcentral lists this long non-coding RNA (9791 nucleotides) under Triticum aestivum (bread wheat). RNAcentral's name for it is "long non-coding RNA (TAES_LNC013060)". Lineage: Eukaryota; Viridiplantae; Streptophyta; Magnoliopsida; Poales; Poaceae. The record is from RNAcentral.